Acanthosepion pharaonis is the source of this 115-nucleotide non-coding RNA. The record is from the annotation of a GenBank genome assembly. Lineage: Eukaryota; Metazoa; Mollusca; Cephalopoda; Sepiida; Sepiidae.
UUACAGCCACACCAUGUUGAAAUAAACAGUUCCUCUAAGAUCACUGAAGUUAAGCAACACUGAGCCUGUUCAGUACCCAGAUAGGUGACUGCUUGGGAAUACCAGGUGCUGUAAG